AUGUUGAAAGGGAGGAGCUAUAGCUCACAGCGAGGGCCACAAGAGAAAGCUUCCUGGAGAAGGCAUAAACACUGGAAGACAGGCAUGACGUCGGGAGGCAGAUGGGAGGAAGGACACCAUGAGCCGAGAACCACAGUAGGCUUUAUGGGGACAGUGCUAUAGCUGGGGAUAGAACAGAGAAUGCGAAGCAUGGAGAACAGGGGGAAUAGUGCGAGAGGUAAUACAAGAAUGGUUUUUUAUUCUGAAAUACUGUUUUCUAACUAUAUUCUAAGCCCCUAAGGUCAGGACAUAGCAGAUGAAUGAAAUUUAGGUUAACGACAUACAAUGGCUAAUUGUGGCAACCCAUAGAGAGUUAGCACAAGAAGUUUGGACUCUAAUCAAUAGAUGAUGUCACAUGGCUAAAAGUUCUGGGGCUGGGAAAGAAUGUCAUGAGAGCAAUGGUUAGCGGCUGUGCAGAGUGGGCGAGAGGCCAGGGAGGCGCUUGUCCUGAUUCUUCUCACCAGGCCAAAAGCUUCCGGAGCUCUGCUGUCCUAUACCACAGCUGAUAGCCUCAUGUAGCUAAUUAAACUUAAAUUUAAAUUAACUAAAAUGAAAUAAAAUGACAAACCCAGUUUCUUGGUCACACUUACUGCAUCUUAAGUGUUCAGUCAACACAUCUGGCCAG
This is a long non-coding RNA of Homo sapiens (human), 664 nucleotides long. The record is from Ensembl. Lineage: Eukaryota; Metazoa; Chordata; Mammalia; Primates; Hominidae.